Sitodiplosis mosellana (orange wheat blossom midge) is the source of this 302-nucleotide long non-coding RNA. RefSeq lists it as uncharacterized. The record is from RefSeq and is a predicted model, not a curated record. NCBI's taxonomy places the organism in Eukaryota, Metazoa, Arthropoda, Insecta, Diptera, Cecidomyiidae. The transcript has 3 exons.
GUUUGCUAUUAUUCCUCAUCGACCGCAAAAAGGCUUUCAUCGAUUCCAAAAUGAAUAAGUAUACAAUUUUACUAGCUUUACUGUUGGUGCAGCUGGUGGCCUUUGGAUAUGCCGCUUCGACUACAAAUGGAAAUGAGGGUGGAUCCGCACAAUGCAUGUGUGCCACAACCCAAGAUCCUGAUGGAGAUGAUACUGACGCUACUCAAGCGCCAACUAACGCUGACCUGGAUAAUGCCGCGAAAAGGAAUUCUGGGAAUUCUGGGAAGUAAUUGCGAUCACAAUGGCCCCUUUGUUUUUCUCUA